Non-coding RNA from Potamilus streckersoni, 73 nucleotides. Lineage: Eukaryota; Metazoa; Mollusca; Bivalvia; Unionida; Unionidae. The record is from the annotation of a GenBank genome assembly.
GCUCCGGUGGCCUAGUGGUUAGAGCGUCCGCCUUGUAUACGGCAGGUUGUGAGUUCGAACCCUGGCCGAGUCA